This 440-nucleotide ribosomal RNA is filed under the name uncultured bacterium. Its description in RNAcentral is "partial 16S ribosomal RNA". It matches the Rfam family "Bacterial small subunit ribosomal RNA", at positions 338 to 795 of the family's 1533-position model. The record is from RNAcentral.
CCUACGGGUGGCAGCAGUGGGGGAUAUUGCACAAUGGGGGAAACCCUGAUGCAGCGACGCCGCGUGGGUGAAGAAGCGCCUCGGCGCGUAAAGCCCUGUCAGCAGGGAAGAAAAUGACGGUACCUGAAGAAGAAGCCCCGGCUAACUACGUGCCAGCAGCCGCGGUAAUACGUAGGGGGCAAGCGUUAUCCGGAUUUACUGGGUGUAAAGGGGGCGCAGACGGGGGUGCAAGCCAGGAGUGAAAGCCCGGGGCCCAACCCCGGGAUCGCUCCUGGCACUGCGUGACUAGAGUGCAGGAGGGGUAGGCGGAAUUCCUGGUGUAGCGGUGAAAUGCGUAGAUAUCAGGAGGAACACCGGUGGCGAAGGCGGCCUGCUGGAUUGCAACUGACGUUGAGGCCCGAAAGCGUGGGGAGCAAACAGGAUUAGAUACCCGAGUAGUC